AUGUCUUCACCGAGGGAGUUUUCCUGGGUCGUGCUGAGGAAACACGUCCCGGUCUUCGACGCCGAGGAGAAGGAGCAGGAAGACAAGAUCAUGGCCAAGGCGAGCAAAGAUUGGGGGGACAUCGAGAAAGGGUCCUGGAUACUGGACCAGUUCUCGCUCGACGCGCACCUCGUCGAGCCGCCGGAGCUCUCCACCUUGUCCGUGCGCGCCAAGAUCGAGACGCAGGAGCGCGGCUUCGGGUGCGUCCUCGACUCCGUCGUGGAGAACUACCUCGUCAUGACUCUGGUGUUCUGCGACAGGCGGUACGGGCUCGUCUACGACGCCGCCAAGAACUCGCUCUCACUGCUCCCCGCCACCAUGGAUUCCUUCGCGGGCUACGACAUCGCGUCGAGAGUUGAUUCUGUGCCCUUCUUCUUCCUGAGGGAACCUGCUGUCCUGCCACGCGACGACGGUUCCUACGAUCUGUUCAAUCUGGGGUUCCGUUUCGCUACACGCGACAGAGUGUUGCAGGGGUCGUCGGGCAUCAUCUUCCGGUGGUCGAGCCAUGCCGCUGGCAAGAAGUGGACGAAGCAGGAGGCGCGCUUCAGCCCGCAUACCCAGGUGCCGCGCCAGCCGGCGGACAAAGUAGACGCGGCCUUCACUUUCAAAGGGAAGGAGUGCCAAGGCCGUGACUUCUCCCGCAGUUACCCCAAGGAUCGUCGGACCAUGGGCCCUGUCGGGGACUCCAUAAAGCUCAUCUCCAUUGUCACCAUCAGUGGCGACAACCCCCGUGACAACACGCCCCCUGCUGACGUUGUGCUGCGGAGCUGGACUCUGUCGCCAGACCUUCACUCAUGGACGAGAGAUGAAGACAUGGAGCUGCCCUUGCCGCUGCUCUGGCAGUCGGAGGCCUACAAGCGUGAGAGGCUGCCGCAGGCCAUGCCGCAGUGCCCAGUCCUCAAGGCCGACGAGGAUGGUGUCCUCUACCUCUUGCUGGGAGAUUACUACAUCGAUUGGGAGGGAGGGGCUCGGCUAUGCAGGGAGAUUGAGUGUGUGAUCAGCAUCAACAUGCGCACAAAGUCUCUCCUGUCCUGCAGCCAUCGUCCGAUCAAAGAUGGCUUACCAGCGCCACCGCCGUGGAGAGUCGAGCCUUCCAAAGAUUUCCAUCCUGACAUACCUACCCUGCUUGCUGUCAAGUUCUGUGCGAGCCACACUGGAUUGUCUGAUGGUCUUCUGCACAAGGAAAAGAAGAAUCGUCUGAUAUAG
This 1245-nucleotide ribosomal RNA is filed under the name Triticum aestivum (bread wheat). RNAcentral describes it as "partial small subunit ribosomal RNA". Lineage: Eukaryota; Viridiplantae; Streptophyta; Magnoliopsida; Poales; Poaceae. The record is from RNAcentral.